Molecule: ribosomal RNA, 398 nt
Filed under: uncultured bacterium
Lineage: Bacteria
Description: bacterial SSU rRNA
Rfam family: Bacterial small subunit ribosomal RNA
Source: RNAcentral
AACGAACGUUAGCGGCGCGCCUAACACAUGCAAGUCGAGCGAGAAAGGGCUUCGGCCCCGGUAAAGCGGCGCACGGGUGAGUAACACGUGGAUAACCUACCCCUUGGUGGUGGAUAACCUUCCGAAAGGAGGCUAAUACAGCGUAAGACCACGACUUCGAAAGAGGUUGGGGUAAAAGUGGGCCUCUGUACACAAGCUCACGCCAGGGGAUGGGUCCGCGGCCCAUCAGCUAGUUGGUAGGGUAACGCCUACCAAGGCGAAGACGGGUAGCUGGUCUGAGAGGAUGAUCAGCCACACUGGAACUGAGACACGGUCCAGACUCCUACGGGAGGCAGCAGUGGGAAUCUUGCGCAAUGGACAAAGUCUGACGCAGCGACGCCGCGUGAGUGAUGAAGGCC